This is a long non-coding RNA of Cyprinus carpio carpio, 422 nucleotides long. Lineage: Eukaryota; Metazoa; Chordata; Actinopteri; Cypriniformes; Cyprinidae. The record is from Ensembl.
GGGGGACUGGAGGACUGAGCCGCUGGUUGCAAUUCACAACCUCACCGCUAGAUGCCGCUAAAAUUUACACACUGCACCUUUAAAGCAUAGAGAGCAGUAAAUAUGUUUAGUGGGAAAUUAGUCACAUCAAGUUCCUCUUCAUAAAGCUCACUGUUGACCACCACAGAUCCGCCAUCACCCACUGAGACACGGGUCAAGUGAUAGUAAAUCAGAUUUUGCAGGUGAGAAUCGUGAGAGCCGUAACUAUAGAAACAGAUUUGAGUCGUCACUACCAGCAUCAGACAGCAGAGAGCGCCAGUUCUCUCUAUUUCACACCUCAGCCGACCAAAGGGGUCCACUAGAGGGUCUCAGUUAACCUCCUCGGAUGCCAGAAAAGCAACUUUGUUAUGAUUUUAAUAGAGAUACAAGAGGGAGGAAACCAC